AACGAACGCUGGCGGCAGGCUUAACACAUGCAAGUCGAGCGCAUCCUUCGGGGUGAGCGGCAGACGGGUGAGUAACGCGUGGGAACGUACCCUUUCCUACGGAAUAGCUCCGGGAAACUGGAAUUAAUACUGUAUACGCCCUUAGGGGGAAAGAUUUAUCAGGGAAGGAUCGGCCCGCGUUGGAUUAGCUAGUUGGUGGGGUAAAGGCCUACCAAGGCGACGAUCCAUAGCUGGUAUGAGAGGCUGACCAGCCACAUUGGGACUGAGACACGGCCCAAACUCCUACGGGAGGCAGCAGUGGGGAAUAUUGGACAAUGGGCGCAAGCCUGAUCCAGCCAUGCCGCGUGAGUGAUGAAGGCCUUAGGGUUGUAAAGCUCUUUCAGUAGGGAAGAUAAUGACGGUACCUACAAAAGAAGCCCCGGCUAACUUCGUGCCAGCCGCCGCGGUAA
Molecule: ribosomal RNA, 449 nt
Filed under: uncultured bacterium
Lineage: Bacteria
Description: partial 16S ribosomal RNA
Rfam family: Bacterial small subunit ribosomal RNA
Source: RNAcentral